Molecule: transfer RNA, 61 nt
Filed under: Pandarus rhincodonicus
Lineage: Eukaryota; Metazoa; Arthropoda; Copepoda; Siphonostomatoida; Pandaridae
Description: tRNA-Trp
Source: RNAcentral
AAAGGUUUAAGUUAAAAAAACUAUCAAUUUUCAAAAUUGGGUAUAGCUAUGCUAAUCUUUG